Molecule: long non-coding RNA, 712 nt
Organism: Oryza brachyantha (malo sina)
Lineage: Eukaryota; Viridiplantae; Streptophyta; Magnoliopsida; Poales; Poaceae
Exons: 3
Source: RefSeq, a predicted model, not a curated record
UUUAGGCCUAGGAUUCGUUUUCUGUUUACUAGAGUUUAAGUAGUAGGUAGCUCGUUAAUUCUCUUGGAAGUUUAUGCAUUCAGUUGGAUAUAAACCCCAGAAAAUCGUGCCGCAAUCGCUCUCGAGUUCUCUCGUUUUCUGAAACUUCUCGCUGUUCUGUCUUGUGUCCAUUUCUUCAGCUUCGUCAGAAGCUUGUGCUUGUCAUUUGCCGUGCCGGACAGCUGCAGUCUGUGAGCAAGCUUUUUCUCGGUGCACACUUCUCCAACUACUAAACGGAAGCUGCCACACGGGGGAAAAGUUCUGUUCUUCGUUUGUGCUAUAUAUGUACGAGUGUAUUGCCCAUGCAUUACAAUGGAUUUUUAAUAAAAUAUAUCAUUAGCAUGUUAUGAAAAUAAAGUUUAAAAAGUGGUUUGAUAUAUAGAUUUAAGUUGUUUUUCAUUUUAACAAAUAGAAGGGAGUUGGUUGGUGAGAUAGGUGAUAGAUUCACCAUCACACAUCACUAGCACUAUUUUUUUUAUAAGAGUAUACAUAUGCACACUAUAUUUUAUUUCUGCGUUAUGUGUGUAUUAGUCGUCUGUUCACAUAAGUACACUUGAUAUGCGCCAACUUUUGAGGUCUGUAGAAGUCAACUGCAUGUAGUCUCAACACGUAGCCAAAAUUCAGAGUUGACUAUCAGCUGUAUUGGAUACUUCAUAUUUUCAACGCAUAUAUG